AGCUAGCUACCCGAAAUCAUUGAUGGCCUUGAACUUAAUUGGUCUUAUUUUUCCUGAAACAAGUGGAAAUAAGGCACCAAGAGCAUUAGUGGAAUGAAAGGAGUUUGGACGCAAGGCUCAGUCUGUCAUGUCUUAACUCUUAACAAGUGAAAAAAUGAGUUGCUUGUAGAUGUUCAAUCCUUGUAUAUAGAAGUUCAAUUCAAUGUUGUAAAUUGCUGCUUCCAAGUAGUAGAAAGACAAUGUUGAAGUAUCAGAGUAUCGAUGGAAAUAUGUAGGUUACUCGUGUAAAUUGGAUUAAUUGUGGACAUAGAUGUGAAUUAACAAUGUUUGAGUUGUCGCUGA
Molecule: long non-coding RNA, 342 nt
Organism: Beta vulgaris subsp. vulgaris (sugar beet)
Lineage: Eukaryota; Viridiplantae; Streptophyta; Magnoliopsida; Caryophyllales; Amaranthaceae
Exons: 2
Source: RefSeq, a predicted model, not a curated record